AUCGCCAGUACCUACUGCAACAUCUUUUCUCCCUACACAGUGACUCCAGCUUGGGAGGGCAGGGCCAGGGUUGUCACAGCUUCCCCUGUGGUGUCUGCCUGCCAAGCACAGCUCUGGAGUUAGCCCUGGGUGUGAGG
Molecule: long non-coding RNA, 137 nt
Filed under: Cebus imitator (Panamanian white-faced capuchin)
Lineage: Eukaryota; Metazoa; Chordata; Mammalia; Primates; Cebidae
Description: ST7 overlapping transcript 3 conserved region 2 (ENSCCAG00000005633.1)
Rfam family: ST7 overlapping transcript 3 conserved region 2
Source: RNAcentral